UCAGAUUGAACGCUGGCGGCAGGCCUAACACAUGCAAGUCGAGCGGAUGAAGGGAGCUUGCUCCUGGAUUCAGCGGCGGACGGGUGAGUAAUGCCUAGGAAUCUGCCUGGUAGUGGGGGAUAACGUCCGGAAACGGGCGCUAAUACCGCAUACGUCCUGAGGGAGAAAGUGGGGGAUCUUCGGACCUCACGCUAUCAGAUGAGCCUAGGUCGGAUUAGCUAGUUGGUGGGGUAAAGGCCUACCAAGGCGACGAUCCGUAACUGGUCUGAGAGGAUGAUCAGUCACACUGGAACUGAGACACGGUCCAGACUCCUACGGGAGGCAGCAGUGGGGAAUAUUGGACAAUGGGCGAAAGCCUGAUCCAGCCAUGCCGCGUGUGUGAAGAAGGUCUUCGGAUUGUAAAGCACUUUAAGUUGGGAGGAAGGGCAGUAAGUUAAUACCUUGCUGUUUUGACGUUACCAACAGAAUAAGCACCGGCUAACUUCGUGCCAGCAGCCGCGGUAAUACGAAGGGUGCAAGCGUUAAUCGGAAUUACUGGGCGUAAAGCGCGCGUAGGUGGUUCAGCAAGUUGGAUGUGAAAUCCCCGGGCUCAACCUGGGAACUGCAUCCAAAACUACUGAGCUAGAGUACGGUAGAGGGUGGUGGAAUUUCCUGUGUAGCGGUGAAAUGCGUAGAUAUAGGAAGGAACACCAGUGGCGAAGGCGACCACCUGGACUGAUACUGACACUGAGGUGCGAAAGCGUGGGGAGCAAAACAGGAUUAGAUACCCUGGUAGUCCACGCCGUAAACGAUGUCGACUAGCCGUUGGGAUCCUUGAGAUCUUAGUGGCGCAGCUAACGCGAUAAGUCGACCGCCU
This 856-nucleotide ribosomal RNA is filed under the name Pseudomonas aeruginosa. Its description in RNAcentral is "bacterial SSU rRNA". It matches the Rfam family "Bacterial small subunit ribosomal RNA", at positions 24 to 874 of the family's 1533-position model. Lineage: Bacteria; Pseudomonadati; Pseudomonadota; Gammaproteobacteria; Pseudomonadales; Pseudomonadaceae. The record is from RNAcentral.